UGAUGAUUCACUAAAAAGACUCACAGAACUUAGUGAAAGCUAAUGUCACACCUACUGUAGAGGAGUGAAAGUACAAAUUGUUUCUCACAAGGAAUGAGUGCCACUCUUCAGUUUUUAAGCAGAGAAGGAACAUGCUGGAUCUGUAUUUUGGACAGAUGUAAUGGUGAAGUUGAGAUGAUGAUCAGAGUCUUACUUCAGACAAAUCAUGAGUCUCAGAGGAAGUGAUGACAGAGAUGUCUGUGGAAACUAUUGAAGAGGAAGGCUUUGCUAAAUCUUCAUGGAGAGAGUCCUUUCUAUGGAGGAGACAUUAUGCUAGAAUUUUCACACAGAUUAUUUUAUUUAACUCCAAGAACUACUCCAUGAAAUAGGCAUGAUCAUCACCUUCAUUGUUUACAGAGAUUCUGGCUUCCCCACUGUAAGAACUGAAGAUACUGCAGCUGAAUUGAUGUCAUGAAAAGGCCUUCAUUCAAUUAGAGUGGGUAUCUUGUGUGGUCUCUAUUUAAUAACUUCCACUUUUGUACAUUUCAAUUUCUGUACGUGCUCUGAGAUAAACAGCCAGAGUCUUUAAGCAAGAGAGACAACAACUAAAAACAACAAUGAAAACUUAGUUACAGCUACAGCGAUAUAUAGGUCUUUAUAAAAGUAGCAGUUCCAUUGUGAAGGCGGUGAUAAAUGUAAAACCAUAAAUUCUGGAAAUAGUCGUAGUAAAUAGAUAGAAACAAGAGUGGUUCACAGAUAAGGAUAUGAAGCAUACUCACUGUAUUUUACCAAAAAUGAUGUUCCUAUAUUUUGUAGACCAGAGAGCCUUUUUAAAGGAAACAAAUUCAUAACCAAAUACCAUCUAGAAUUACCUCUAUUAAUAAAUUGUCAAUGUAAUAUUUUAAUUAAAACAUAUAUCACGUAUUUUCUUCUCUGUAUAAUUUUAUAAAAUAUCUAUGAUAAGAAAGAAAAUAAUGGAAUGCAUUUUCUUUAACAUAUUAUCCUACAUUAUACUCUUUCUAAUCUCUAGAGAC
This 1013-nucleotide long non-coding RNA is filed under the name Homo sapiens (human). RNAcentral's name for it is "HSALNT0118655". Lineage: Eukaryota; Metazoa; Chordata; Mammalia; Primates; Hominidae. The record is from RNAcentral.